UUAGGACGAUGAAGUGGUUGAUGCCAUGCUUCCAGGAAAAGCUUCUAAGCUUCAGGUAAUUAGGAACCGUACCCCAAACCGACACAGGUGGUUAGGUAGAGAAUACCAAGGCGCUUGAGAGAACUCGGGUGAAGGAACUAGGCAAAAUGGCACCGUAACUUCGGGAGAAGGUGCGCCGGUGAGUGUGAAGGGUUUACCCCGUAAGCACAUGCCGGUCGAAGAUACCAGGCCGCUGCGACUGUUUAUUAAAAACACAGCACUCUGCAAACACGAAAGUGGACGUAUAGGGUGUGACGCCUGCCCGGUGCCGGAAGGUUAAUUGAUGGGGUUAGCUAACGCGAAGCUCUUGAUCGAAGCCCCGGUAAACGGCGGCCGUAACUAUAACGGUCCUAAGGUAGCGAAAUUCCUUGUCGGGUAAGUUCCGACCUGCACGAAUGGCGUAACGAUGGCGGCGCUGUCUCCACCCGAGACUCAGUGAAAUUGAAAUCGCUGUGAAGAUGCAGUGUAUCCGCGGCUAGACGGAAAGACCCCGUGAACCUUUACUAUAGCUUUGCACUGGACUUUGAGCUUGCUUGUGUAGGAUAGGUGGGAGGCUUUGAAGUGGGGACGCCAGUUCUCAUGGAGCCAACCUUGAAAUACCACCCUGGCAACCUUGAGGUUCUAACUCUGGUCCGUUAUCCGGAUCGAGGACAGUGUAUGGUGGGUAGUUUGACUGGGGCGGUCUCCUCCUAAAGAGUAACGGAGGAGUACGAAGGUGCGCUCAGACCGGUCGGAAAUCGGUCGUAGAGUAUAAAGGCAAAAGCGCGCUUGACUGCGAGACAGACACGUCGAGCAGGUACGAAAGUAGGUCUUAGUGAUCCGGUGGUUCUGUAUGGAAGGGCCAUCGCUCAACGGAUAAAAGGUACUCCGGGGAUAACAGGCUGAUACCGCCCAAGAGUUCAUAUCGACGGCGGUGUUUGGCACCUCGAUGUCGGCUCAUCACAUCCUGGGGCUGAAGCCGGUCCCAAGGGUAUGGCUGUUCGCCAUUUAAAGUGGUACGCGAGCUGGGUUUAGAACGUCGUGAGACAGUUCGGUCCCUAUCUGCCGUGGACGUUUGAGAUUUGAGAGGGGCUGCUCCUAGUACGAGAGGACCGGAGUGGACGAACCUCUGGUGUUCCGGUUGUCACGCCAGUGGCAUUGCCGGGUAGCUAUGUUCGGGAAAGAUAACCGCUGAAAGCAUCUAAGCGGGAAACUUGCCUCAAGAUGAGAUCUCACUGGAACCUUGAGUUCCCUAAAGGGCCGUCGAAGACUACGACGUUGAUAGGCUGGGUGUGUAAGCGUUGUGAGGCGUUGAGCUAACCAGUACUAAUUGCCCGUGAGGCUUGACCAUA
Molecule: ribosomal RNA, 1370 nt
Filed under: Phytopseudomonas seleniipraecipitans
Lineage: Bacteria; Pseudomonadati; Pseudomonadota; Gammaproteobacteria; Pseudomonadales; Pseudomonadaceae
Description: bacterial LSU rRNA
Rfam family: Bacterial large subunit ribosomal RNA
Source: RNAcentral